UACAGAGGUGGCAAGCGUUGUUCGGAAUUAUUGGGCGUAAAGGGCGCGUAGGCGGCCGAAUAAGUCUGACGUGAAAUCCCACGGCCCAACCGUGGAACUGCGUUUGAUACUGUUCGGCUCGAGUCCGGGAGAGGGUAGCGGAAUUCCCAGUGUAGCGGUGAAAUGCGUAGAUAUUGGGAGGAACACCGGUGGCGAAGGCGGCUACCUGGACCGGUACUGACGCUGAGGCGCGAAAGCUAGGGUAGCAAACAGG
RNAcentral lists this ribosomal RNA (253 nucleotides) under uncultured bacterium. RNAcentral describes it as "partial 16S ribosomal RNA". It matches the Rfam family "Bacterial small subunit ribosomal RNA", at positions 524 to 776 of the family's 1533-position model. The record is from RNAcentral.